UAUCAGAUGCGAUCAGUUGUAAUCGAAAUAUUGCAUAUAGCGAUUUAGCUUUGGCAUAAUUGUUUCUUGGUAGACGUAUUAUGAGUUUGCAUUGCUAACAGCAGGUAUUAUUUUCGAACGAAGGCAUAGUAGAAUAGUCUAAAAUGACGGGAAUAAAUGAUGAAAAACUGAAACAACAUAUGGAGGAUGAGAUGACUAGGUUUGAAGCAGAAAUUGCUUUGCCUGUUCUUCCUCCUCCACCUCCGCCUCCAGCGAUUGCACCGCGGCCUGUCAUUGGAUCCAACACCUAUACUCAAGUUCAGCGACGACUAGAGGAACAGCAGACGUUACCUUCUGCAAUUCCGGGGCCUGAGUUUCCAGCCUGCCCUCCCAUGGGAUUUCCAUCAUUGAUGCCUCCAUCUGUACCAGCUUUUCCAGGAAUUCCGCCACCACCGCCGCCACCACCACCACCUCCACCACCUCCACCAUUGCUUAUACCACAUCAGGUUCAACGUGGACCACCAGUCAGGCACCCAAUGCGUGGGGUCGGCAUGGGUCCUCCUGGACCAAUGAUGGGAGGCCCUUCUCCCCCAGGGUUCAUGGGCCCCCCUAACAUGGCUCAUCCUCCAGCUCCUCCUUUCAUGGGUCCUCCAGUCCCUGGCCCUGGGCCGCAGGUGAUGCCUAUGGAACAACGUCUGCCAACUCCAAUGCCUCCAGCUCAACCUCAUGUACCUGCAAUUGUAAGUGCUACACCAAAGCUGUAUCUUGCAAAGCCAUCUGGAGCCAAGUCAGAAACAGACUUAGGAGAUGAUCAGCGGAAAGGGAACAGGAAGAGUAAGAGUGGUAAUGAAAAGAGUGCAGUGCCUGCUCUAGAAAUGUCACGUGCUCGGGGUAUGGCUGAGAAGGUGAAAGUGAGCACAGUAACGGUGUCUGUUGGUCCUGGAUCACUGCAGUCAGGAGCAGCAGAAGAAACCACUCCUGCAGCAGGACGUAAGAAGGAGAAGAAGAACAAGAAGAUUGUUCGUAUGGCUGGUGGGCAGAUCUGGGAAGAUAAUUCACUUCUAGAGUGGGAGGAUGAUGAUUUCCGAAUUUUUUGUGGUGAUUUGGGUAAUGAUGUGACAGAUGAAAUUCUAACAAGAGCUUUUAGCAAAUAUCAAUCUUUCCUGAAGGCAAAAGUGGUACGAGACAAACGAUCCAAUAAAACCAAAGGGUUUGGUUUCGUGAGCUUUAAGGAUCCACAAGACUUUAUCAAAGCUAUGAAGGAGAUGAAUGCUGCAGUUCAUGAUACCUCUUUGGAUGGUGUUGAAGGCGACUGUGGAGGUGCCUCUCAGCUGAGCUGUACUGUCGACCUGUGGACUGACUGUCAGAGGGCUAUAGGGCACGUCCUUCCCUCUCAAUUCUACCGUUAUGGCCCUAUGAUUAUUAUGCCGCUGAAGGCCGCACUUAACGUGAAGGUACGUGGGCAGUCGACCCAUCAAACUGAGGAAGAGCUCGUGGAAACAAAGGAACAUGGAGUCGGUGCGAAAGAAAGAUAAAGAGAAAGCAGCUCUCAUUGGCUUGCUGACUGGCCGGUGACAGACGUAAGGCCGUGGUUGUUGGAGGCGUCUGUGACGGCGGGGUUGCAAAACGUCCAGCGUCUUCGGUCCGACAAGUGAGGAACGCGUUACAUCAGUUCGUCACAAACUAUACGAUUCAAUUUUGGCGUUAUUUUCCUUUAUUUGUGAUAUAAUUUUUGGGAACGUAGUAAUCACAAGCUUGUCAGCUUUGUACAAAUGAAUUGUGCUCAUUUUUUGAAUGCAUAAUAAUAUAUAAAUAAAGGAUUGUUAUUUUUAAUCGU
RNA transcript from Cryptotermes secundus, 1816 nucleotides. It is a transcript of the gene named RNA-binding protein 42, with no coding region annotated. The transcript is spliced from 8 exons. NCBI's taxonomy places the organism in Eukaryota, Metazoa, Arthropoda, Insecta, Blattodea, Kalotermitidae. The record is from RefSeq and is a predicted model, not a curated record.